GUUAGGUAUGUACUUAGCUUAGGCUUUUGGCUUAGGAAAGUCUACCCACUACCAAAAGGAUCACUUAUCCCUGAUAAGUCCGGGCAUACCGGGGGCAACAUCACAGAAACGAGACCCCUUACUCUAAGAAUGACGUGUGCGAAACACUCGGUAACGGGUGUGAGAUAACCUACCGACGUUGGAGUAAGAACGGCUGAAACGGAUAGUCCUGGUCCAGUGCAAGUCAUAUGACGCUUAGUUAAAUGCUAAGAUAGCCCAUCCGAGAGGAACGGAAUCGUUUUAGGGGGCUAACAGAAGGUAGCUUAUGCGUACCCAAC
This 317-nucleotide RNase P RNA is filed under the name Candidatus Woesearchaeota archaeon. RNAcentral's name for it is "RNase P RNA component". It matches the Rfam family "Archaeal RNase P". Rfam says of the family: Ribonuclease P (RNase P) is a ubiquitous endoribonuclease, found in archaea, bacteria and eukarya as well as chloroplasts and mitochondria. Lineage: Archaea; Nanobdellati; Candidatus Woesearchaeota. The record is from RNAcentral.